RNAcentral lists this ribosomal RNA (118 nucleotides) under Oreochromis niloticus (Nile tilapia). The record is from RNAcentral. Lineage: Eukaryota; Metazoa; Chordata; Actinopteri; Cichliformes; Cichlidae.
GGCUACGGCCAUACCACCUGAACACGCCCGAUCUCGUCUGAUCUCGGAAGCUAAGCAGGGUCGGGCCUGGUCAGUACUUGGAUGGGAGACCGCCUGGGAAUACCAGGUGCUGUAAGCU